RNAcentral lists this ribosomal RNA (258 nucleotides) under uncultured bacterium. Its description in RNAcentral is "partial 16S ribosomal RNA". It matches the Rfam family "Bacterial small subunit ribosomal RNA", at positions 524 to 776 of the family's 1533-position model. The record is from RNAcentral.
UACGGAGGGGGCGAGCGUUAUUCGGAAUUAUUGGGCGUAAAGGGCGUGUAGGCGGUCGGUCAAGUCUGGUGUGAAAGCCCGGGGCUCAGCUCCGGAAGUGCAUCGGAAACUAGCUGGCUGGAGCGCGAUAGAGGAGGGCGGAAUUCCUGGUGUAGCGGUGAAAUGCGUAGAUAAUCAGGAGGAACACCGGCGGCGAAGGCGGCCCUCCUGGAUCGUUGGCCUGACGCUGGAGACGCGAAAGCGUGGGGAGCAAACAGG